RNAcentral lists this long non-coding RNA (4450 nucleotides) under Mytilus galloprovincialis (Mediterranean mussel). Lineage: Eukaryota; Metazoa; Mollusca; Bivalvia; Mytilida; Mytilidae. The record is from RNAcentral.
UUCUUUUUAAAAAAUACAUGGUCAAAAUUAGUAAAAAUGUGUUUAAACAUUCACAAAAAAAAUCUUCACUUAUACAUCCAUAAAAUUUCAAAUGUAUGAUUGUUUGCUUUACAUAAUUUAAGUAAUCAUAAGACAGAUCCUAUGCAGAUAAACAAUUUGAUUGUAUACUUAAAUUUCAUACAUAAAAUACAAGUGCUUAAAAAAUACUCAUUUGUUCAACUAUCAAAUUAAAUGACAUCCAAUGGUUUAAAUUGGUAAAACAUAGACUUGUACUUGAAAAGUGAAUACUCAUAAAACAAUUGCUUUGAACCAAUGAUCAGUUUUAAAUUAAAAAAACUUAUCUUGUAUUUCUACAGAUUCUCUUUAAAUUUCUGUUAAGAAUACUAAAUUGUCUAAAUUCAAUUACAUCACAAACAAACAAAAAUUAUUUGUUCAAAUUUUUGGAAUUCCUUCCUACAUUGUUGGAAUCAAUUCUGGAGAAGACAAAGUGAAAAUGUAUGAAAGGUGUAAUGGAGUGUCAUAACAAAAACUUAAAGAUACCAGAUUUAUAAUUUUGUAAGCCAGACACCAUUGUUUUAUCAAUUAUAAAAAAAAUUUCACUAAAUGGUAAAGAUAAUACCUACCUGAUAUCUGAUAUCAGUAAAGUAUAAUUUCAGAACAAUCUUUCACUCUGUGUGUUUCUUCAAGAUGAAAAUAGAUUGUAACAAUGAAGGAAGUUUACAGAAAAAAACUUAAAUUAACUAUCAGUUUAUAAAACUCAAACCACUGUUUUGUCAAAAUAAACACAUCUUUCAGAAAGUCCAUACAGUUAACAUUUGAAACAUCCACACAUUAACUCAAAUUUACAAUAAACAACAUUCAAUUUUUAACAGAAGAAGGCAUAUUGAGCAUUAAAACAUCCAGAUAAUAAUAUGAUGAGAUUAUACUAAAAUAAAUUGUUGAUAUUUGAAUCUUGAAUAAAUUUUGUAUUCAAUUUAACCUUUAAAAAGUAUCUGUGGGUAAUCUGCAUGCAUACCAAAGAGUGUUAACUUUUAUAAAAAAAAAAAAAAAAACAAUCUUAACAUAUAGAUAGAUUGCUUAUAGCUUAUUUUAUCGCACCACUGGUAAAAUAUCAUGUUGUGAUUGGUUUAAUGUCCUCACGUGGUGACCCCUAUGGAUCUGUAGGGGGUUAGUAAAUUUCAUAGGGGGUUCGUGACACAUUAAUGGUGACGUCAUCCAUUAAUGUUGUUGCGUUUCAUUGUUUAUUUUUCAACAAAACGCAGCAGAAAAAGUCCAGCGUGCAAUAAAUUCGUUAUACGGUUAACUACUGACCCCCUAUGGAUUUUACUAACCCUCUAUGGAUCCGUAGGGGGUCAGUAACGAACCAUAUAACUUAUAAUGUAUGCAUUAAUCAGUCGUUAUUCAUAAAUAAAAUAUAUUUAUAGUAACAAUUGGGUAAUACAUAGAGAAUUGAGUUAAUUUUCAAUUAAAUGUAUGGAAUGACUAAUAACCCUACUAUUUAACAUGUCAUGAAUAAUCUAUUUCUACUGGUGAGUAACAUAUUUGAGCCUUGAUUUUUACAUGAGCUAUCAGCCUUAUAAAUUAUUUAUCUGUCACCUAUAAACAAAGUUUGAAAAUUUAUCUUACUCCACAAAUGGCUGUUUUCAGGUAAGUCAAUAUGUUUCAUAUGAAUUUACUUCUGUUGUACAACAAGGUAAAACGAGAAAAAGAAAUAAGACAGUCCCUUCCGAUAAACAAAUACCAAUGAAAAAGUCAGUGACAUAAACCUUGAACCACCCAAGCAUGAAUGACAUAUUUAACCGAUAAAACGUAGAAAAAUUUACAAAAAGCACCAUACAUAAGUUGCAUUUUAAGUCUCAGAAAAAAUUUUGUUGACAAUCUUGAAAAGUAUGUACUUCUCUUAUAUGUAUCUUCAACGGUUUGAAAGGCUGUUUGAUUGGUAUAAUAAAACAUUGAUAAACCUUUGAAGUGAUGAUUGAACAAAAUAGUGAACUGUACAAUAUUAUUUCCCUUUGGAUGCUUCUAAGGUCCAUUUUAAAUCAUUGGUAUGUAAUAUCAUAGGUUCAUCCAUACAUACACAACUAAGGUAGGUACUAUAAACUUAGAUAGGUCAUGCAAACAUUGCAUAACAUUUUAUAAAGUAAACUUUAAACAUAUUGGGUCAUUUGAUGGAAAUAAAUCCAGAUCAAAGCAUAAAUUUGUUUAAGUAACAUUUGACUAGAAUAUUUGAAAGGUAUAUGGUUAUUUGUGAUUAAAUUUUAAAUAAAAAGAGAUUCUACACAAUAAAGAUCAGUGGUAUCUUCAUUGUACUGUUGUUAUUUGUUGCCAAAUUACUGACUAUCUAAUUUUAAAUUCAUGUUUCUUCAUUGAAAAAAAAAUGUAAUUCUGCAAUACCAUAUCUGUGCUAGCCAAGGAUUACAAUCCAGCCGCCUCUUUUUGGGGGCUGGAUUAUGAACCUUGGCUAGCAAAGAUGUCAAUAUAGAAACAUCUCUUAAAAUGAUGACAAAAUACACCCUAUUUGACUUUGUAUAUUGAGACAGAUAUGAAGGGUAGAUAACUAAAAAGUGGGUUAGAGGUAGAAUGACUUUUAGCAAACCUUUUCCUCAGAUUUCUCAUAAAUACUGAACAAUGUUUGAUACUAAAACUAAGACUUUAAACAUAAUAAGGCCUGUUAUGUUCUAAAUUCAACAGUAAGAGUAUAAUUAAUCAUUUUUUAAUACAGGACCAUACACUCAAUCAUUAAAUACAUGGAUUGUUUUACAAAUAAUUUGAAAAGAAAGCAACAAGUUUGGUAUUUUAAUUUGACACUAUCCUUUCCAUUAGUAAAAAAGGUUUAAUUCAGAUAAAACUUGGGUUACAUGUGCCUGAGGUUAAAAUUAAAAUUUAAUUGUCAGUUCUAAGCUUCCCUCACCCCAAAAAGAAUACAAAUAAGCUAAUAUUUCUGGACCACUAGAAGGAUACAUAUAAGCAAAGCUUUCCUCAACUCCAGAAAGAUAUAAGUAAAGUACACUAUAAUCUUCAGCUUAACAAACACACACACUCACAAUCUGAUUUUUUUUUUUUAUACUAAUUACCGUAUAUAACAUAUUCCUCAAUUUAUAUAUCAAAUACAUUGUGUUCAAUUAAAUGUGAAAACAAGUGAGGAUGAUUACAUAUCUGUUCUGAGGUUCAUGAUACUUAGCAAAAUUAUAUCAAAACGUUGAAUUAUAACAAACACUGCUGCUAGAAAUUAUAAUAUUGUCUCUGACAAUCAAAAUAUUUGGACUUUUAUGGUAUUUUUGAAAACCAAUAAUCAUAUGUUUAACAGUCAUAAUUCAAAUUAUUGUUACAUUGCUAUAUUCAACUGAUACCUACAAUUGUAAACCAAUUUACAUUUACUAUUGCAAAUUAAACAAGUAGAAUAUCUGAUUGUUACAACUGAGAUUAAAGCCUCACACUUUUUCAAUAAUAUCCUUUAUUCAAUAAAAUGAUUUGGAACAAUAAAUAUUUCCAUGAAAAAUGAUGCAUGCUAUACAAAAUUUAAGAGCAUAAAAAUCAAAUGAUUUUUUGGAGAUGAAUCUCUGCUUAUCAUAUUGAAGACCUGUUGUGAAUUAUUUGACAGUGAUUAUUGUUCAACUGCCAUCAACACCAAAUUAGUUUAAGAACAUUGAGAGAUAACUUUAGAGCACCACCUACAAUUGAUAUGCACAUGAACAUGAAAAGAUUCUACAAUUCUUUGUUUUAUAAUAGAUCAGAUAAUGGGAACAAGAUUUUUUUAUUUCUGGUUUCUUCUAUGUUGAGAUAUUUGUCAUAUAUCUUUACUAAUGAUGAAGGAUAAUUUCUGGUUUCUUCUACGUUGAGAUAUUUGUCAUAUAUCUUUACUAAUGAUGAAGGAUAAUCUUAUUGACAUAAAUAAUAAUCUUAAACCAGUUAAGAGGUAUCAUUGUAUGAAAAUAACUGAAAUGAUCUUGUUCUUACAAAUUACCCCUUAAAAUCAGGAGGAACAGAUGAUAGGGGAUCCAUGUGAAGACAUCCCUCUUCCACAAAAAGACAAACCAAAAAACCCCAUACACACAAACAAUUAUACAAUAAAUUCAUGUAAAAAAGUAUUGAUCCAAUAAAAUGGUCCGACAUUAUUUUAAUAUACCUAGUAUUAAAAUGUAAAUAUAUACAAAAUCUUCCAUUUAUAUAUUGUUCUUUUCCAUGUAGUCAUUUUGAUAAAACAAUGCUAGAAGAAAUGAGCUAUAAAAUAUAUAUGCCAUGGUCUGCAUGGUUGCAAUUGCUUACAUUUAAUGCAUGUCAGAGAUAAAAGUUUUUUUUAUAAAAUAAUCCACUAGAAAGAUAACGGAACAAAUUGAAAAUUAGUCAUUGGAGCAUGUGUGGGGCUCAUAUACCACAUAAUGGUACUAUUAAAAUGUAGAAAUCUUAUUUUGAACAGAACAUGAUAAAACAAAAUAACAUUAAUUGUGAA